RNAcentral lists this small RNA (125 nucleotides) under Gibbsiella quercinecans. RNAcentral's name for it is "Leucine operon leader". It matches the Rfam family "Leucine operon leader", at positions 19 to 148 of the family's 148-position model. From Rfam's summary of the family: At least 6 amino acid operons are known to be regulated by attenuation. In each a leader sequence of 150-200 bp is found upstream of the first gene in the operon. This leader sequence can assume two different secondary structures known as the terminator and the anti-terminator structure. The record is from RNAcentral. Lineage: Bacteria; Pseudomonadati; Pseudomonadota; Gammaproteobacteria; Enterobacterales; Yersiniaceae.
UACCACCCGUCUACUAGGCCUACUACUAAACGCAUCUCCUUUGCGCGGUAUGCCGGUGGGCAAAACCUGGAUCUGAUUCAGCCCCUCACCACAUAACAAGCCCGCGCUACUGCGCGGGUUUUUUU